AGAAUUUGAUCUUGGUUCAGGAUGAACGCUAGCUACAGGCUUAACACAUGCAAGUCGAGGGGCAGCAUGAUCUUAGCUUGCUAAGAUUGAUGGCGACCGGCGCACGGGUGAGUAACGCGUAUCCGAACCUUCCCUAUAGUAGGGGAUAGCCCGUAGAAAUGCGGAUUAAUACCCUAUGUUGUAUUUCGAUGACAUCUGACGAAUACCAAAGGUUCACCGCUAUAGGAUGGGGAUGCGUCUGAUUAGGUAGUCGGCGGGGUAACGGCCCACCGAGCCAACGAUCAGUAGGGGUUCUGAGAGGAAGGUCCCCCACAUUGGAACUGAGACACGGUCCAAACGUCCUACGGGAGGCAGCAGUGAGGAGUAUUGGUCAAUGGGCGAGAGCCUGAACCAGCCAAGUAGCGUGCAGGAUGACGGCCCUAUGGGUUGUAAACUGCUUUUAUACGGGGAUAAAGUGGGCCACGUGUGGCUUUUUGUAGGUACCGUAUGAAUAAGGACCGGCUAAUUCCGUGCCAGCCGCAGC
Molecule: ribosomal RNA, 523 nt
Filed under: uncultured bacterium
Lineage: Bacteria
Description: bacterial SSU rRNA
Rfam family: Bacterial small subunit ribosomal RNA
Source: RNAcentral